This 459-nucleotide ribosomal RNA is filed under the name uncultured bacterium. RNAcentral's name for it is "partial 16S ribosomal RNA". It matches the Rfam family "Bacterial small subunit ribosomal RNA", at positions 338 to 795 of the family's 1533-position model. The record is from RNAcentral.
CCUACGGGUGGCAGCAGUGAGGAAUAUUGGUCAAUGGGCGCGAGCCUGAACCAGCCAAGUCGCGUGAGGGAAGACGGCCCUAUGGAUUGUAAACUUCUUUUGUCGGGGAGCAAAAGACGCCACGCGUGCCGUUUCGUAAGUACCUGAUGAAAAAGCAUCGGCUAACUCCGUGCCAGCAGCCGCGGUAAUACGGAGGAUGCGAGCGUUAUCCGGAUUUAUUGGGUUUAAAGGGAGCGCAGGGGGAAGAUCAAGUCAGCGGUAAAAUCGUGGGGCUCAACCUCGCUCUGCCGUUGAAACGGGCGUUCUUGAGGGGGAGAGAAGGAUGCGGAAUUCGGGGGGUAGCGGUGAAAUGCAUAGAUAUCACGCAGAAAUCCGGUUGCGAAGGGAGCAUUACGGCGCUCAACUGACGAUGAAGCACGAAAGCGUGGGGAUCGAACAGGAUUAGAUACCCUAGUAGUC